This 336-nucleotide ribosomal RNA is filed under the name Streptococcus uberis. RNAcentral's name for it is "bacterial SSU rRNA". It matches the Rfam family "Bacterial small subunit ribosomal RNA", at positions 23 to 349 of the family's 1533-position model. Lineage: Bacteria; Bacillati; Bacillota; Bacilli; Lactobacillales; Streptococcaceae. The record is from RNAcentral.
CUCAGGACGAACGCUGGCGGCGUGCCUAAUACAUGCAAGUAGAACGCUGAGGACUGGUGCUUGCACUGGUCUAAGGAGUUGCGAACGGGUGAGUAACGCGUAGGUAACCUACCUCAUAGCGGGGGAUAACUAUUGGAAACGAUAGCUAAUACCGCAUGACAAUAGGGUACACAUGUACCUAAUUUAAAAGGGGCAAAUGCUUCACUAUGAGAUGGACCUGCGUUGUAUUAGCUAGUUGGUAAGGUAACGGCUUACCAAGGCGACGAUACAUAGCCGACCUGAGAGGGUGAUCGGCCACACUGGGACUGAGACACGGCCCAGACUCCUACGGGAGGC